UACGGAGGGUGCAAGCGUUAAUCGGAAUUACUGGGCGUAAAGCGCGCGUAGGCGGUUAAUCAAGUCAGAUGUGAAAGCCCAGGGCUCAACCUUGGAACUGCAUUUGAAACUGGUUGACUAGAGUUUUGUAGAGGGUGGUAGAAUUUCAGGUGUAGCGGUGAAAUGCGUAGAGAUCUGAAGGAAUACCAGUGGCGAAGGCGGCCACCUGGACAAAAACUGACGCUGAGGCGCGAAGGCGUGGGGAGCAAACGGGAUUAGAUACCCUCGUA
This 269-nucleotide ribosomal RNA is filed under the name uncultured prokaryote. RNAcentral describes it as "partial 16S ribosomal RNA". It matches the Rfam family "Bacterial small subunit ribosomal RNA", at positions 524 to 792 of the family's 1533-position model. The record is from RNAcentral.